Molecule: ribosomal RNA, 387 nt
Filed under: uncultured bacterium
Lineage: Bacteria
Description: bacterial SSU rRNA
Rfam family: Bacterial small subunit ribosomal RNA
Source: RNAcentral
AUUGAACGCUGGCGGCAUGCCUUACACAUGCAAGUCGAACGGCAGCGGACCUUCGAGUGCCGGCGAGUGGCGAACGGGUGAGUAAUAUAUCGGAACGUACCUUUCAGUGGGGGAUAACGUAGCGAAAGUUACGCUAAUACCGCAUAUUCUGUGAGCAGGAAAGCAGGGGAUCGCAAGACCUUGCGCUGAUUGAGCGGCCGAUAUCAGAUUAGCUAGUUGGUGAGGUAAAGGCUCACCAAGGCGACGAUCUGUAGCGGGUCUGAGAGGAUGAUCCGCCACACUGGAACUGAGACACGGUCCAGACUCCUACGGGAGGCAGCAGUGGGGAAUUUUGGACAAUGGGCGCAAGCCUGAUCCAGCCAUGCCGCGUGAGUGAAGAAGGCCUGG